Molecule: ribosomal RNA, 253 nt
Filed under: uncultured bacterium
Lineage: Bacteria
Description: partial 16S ribosomal RNA
Rfam family: Bacterial small subunit ribosomal RNA
Source: RNAcentral
UACGUAGGGUGCAAAGGUUAUGCGGACUUACUGGGCGUAAAGCGUGCGCCGGCGGUCUUGGAAGACAGGGGUGAAAUCCCCGGGCUGAACCUGGGAACUGCCUUUGUGACUGCAAGGCUUGAGUGCGGCAGAGGGGGAUGGAAUUCCGCGUGUAGCAGUGAAAUGCGUAGAUAUGCGGAGGCACACCGAUGGCGAAGGCGAUCCCCUGGGCCUGCACUGACGCUCAUGCACGUAAGCGUGGGGAGCAAACAGG